RNAcentral lists this signal recognition particle RNA (97 nucleotides) under Clostridia bacterium. RNAcentral's name for it is "signal recognition particle sRNA small type". It matches the Rfam family "Bacterial small signal recognition particle RNA". From Rfam's summary of the family: The signal recognition particle (SRP) is a universally conserved ribonucleoprotein involved in the co-translational targeting of proteins to membranes. Archaeal SRP consists of a 7S RNA and homologues of the eukaryotic SRP19 and SRP54 proteins. Lineage: Bacteria; Bacillati; Bacillota; Clostridia. The record is from RNAcentral.
GUAUGGAGAGGAACCAAUAAAGACCUAUGAAUCUUGUCAGGUCCGGAAGGAAGCAGCAAUAAGUAGUUUAUCUUUAUGUGGUAACUUUCCAUAGAGA